CCUACGGUAGGCAGCAGUGGGGAAUAUUGGACAAUGGGCGAAAGCCUGAUCCAGCCAUGCCGCGUGUGUGAAGAAGGCCUUCGGGUUGUAAAGCACUUUCAGUGGGGAAGAAAGCCUUGGGGCUAAUACCCUCGAGGAAGGACAUCACCCACAGAAGAAGCACCGGCUAACUCCGUGCCAGCAGCCGCGGUAAUACGGCGGGUGCGAGCGUUAAUCGGAAUUACUGGGCGUAAAGCGCGCGUAGGCGGUCUGAUAAGCCGGUUGUGAAAGCCCCGGGCUCAACCUGGGAACGGCAUCCGGAACUGUCAGGCUAGAGUGCAGGAGAGGAAGGUAGAAUUCCCGGUGUAGCGGUGAAAUGCGUAGAGAUCGGGAGGAAUACCAGUGGCGAAGGCGGCCUUCUGGACUGACACUGACGCUGAGGUGCGAAAGCGUGGGUAGCAAACAGGAUUAGAUACCCCUGUAGUC
This 465-nucleotide ribosomal RNA is filed under the name Vreelandella stevensii. RNAcentral's name for it is "partial 16S ribosomal RNA". It matches the Rfam family "Bacterial small subunit ribosomal RNA", at positions 338 to 795 of the family's 1533-position model. Lineage: Bacteria; Pseudomonadati; Pseudomonadota; Gammaproteobacteria; Oceanospirillales; Halomonadaceae. The record is from RNAcentral.